GUGCGCGAAGAAGGCCUUCGGGUUGUAAAGCGCUUUUCGGGAGGAAGAGGAAGGACUGUACUCCCGGAAUAAGUCUCGGCUAACUACGUGCCAGCAGCCGCGGUAAUACGUAGGAGGCUAACGUUAUCCGGAUUUACUGGGCGUAAAGCGCGUGCAGGCGGUUCGUUAAGUUGGACGUGAAAGCUCCCGGCUCAACUGGGAGAGGUCGUUCAAUACUGGCGGACUUGAGGAUGGUAGAGGGAGGUGGAAUUCCGGGUGUAGUGGUGAAAUGCGCAGAUAUCCGGAGGAACACCAGUGGCGAAAGCGGCCUCCUGGACCAUUCCUGACGCUCAGACGCGAAAGCUAGGGUAGCAAACGGGAUUAGAGACCCCGGUAGUCCUAGCUGUAAACGAUGCGAACUUGGCGUCGGUGGGAUUAAAUCCAUCGGUGUCGAAGCUAACGCGAUAAGUUCACCGCCUGAGGACUAC
Molecule: ribosomal RNA, 467 nt
Filed under: uncultured Anaerolineaceae bacterium
Lineage: Bacteria; Bacillati; Chloroflexota; Anaerolineae; Anaerolineales; Anaerolineaceae
Description: bacterial SSU rRNA
Rfam family: Bacterial small subunit ribosomal RNA
Source: RNAcentral